RNAcentral lists this ribosomal RNA (502 nucleotides) under uncultured bacterium. Its description in RNAcentral is "partial 16S ribosomal RNA". It matches the Rfam family "Bacterial small subunit ribosomal RNA", at positions 30 to 523 of the family's 1533-position model. The record is from RNAcentral.
AUUGAACGCUGGCGGCAGGCUUAACACAUGCAAGUCGAGCGGGGUGAUGGUGCUUGCACUAUCACUUAGCGGCGGACGGGUGAGUAAUGCUUAGGAAUCUGCCUAUAGUGGGGGACAACAUCUCGAAAGGGAUGCUAAUACCGCAUACGUCCUACGGGAGAAAGCAGGGGAUCACUUGUGACCUUGCGCUAAUAGAUGAGCCUAAGUCGGAUUAGCUAGUUGGUGGGGUAAAGGCCUACCAAGGCGACGAUCUGUAGCGGGUCUGAAAGGAUGAUCGGCCACACUGGGACUGAGACAAGGCCCGGACUCCGACGGGAGGCAGCAGUAGGGAAUAUUGGACAAUGGGGGGAACCCUGAUCCAGCCAUGCCGCGUGUGUGGAGAAGGCCUUAUGGUUGUAAAGCACUUUAAGCGAGGAGGAGGCUCUUUUGGUUAAUACCCAAGAUGAGUGGACGUUACUCGCAGAAUAAGCACCGGCUAACUCUGUGCCAGCCGCCGCAGUAA